Molecule: ribosomal RNA, 397 nt
Filed under: uncultured bacterium
Lineage: Bacteria
Description: partial 16S ribosomal RNA
Rfam family: Bacterial small subunit ribosomal RNA
Source: RNAcentral
AUACGUAGGGGGCGAGCGUUGUCCGGAAUGAUUGGGCGUAAAGGGCGCGUAGGCGGCCCGGUAAGUCUGGAGUGAAAGUCCUGUUUUUAAGAUGGGAAUUGCUUUGGAUACUGUCGGGCUUGAGUGCAGGAGAGGGAAGUGGAAUUCCCAGUGUAGCGGUGAAAUGCGUAGAGAUUGGGAGGAACACCAGUGGCGAAGGCGACUUACUGGACUGUAACUGACGCUGAGGCGCGAAAGUGUGGGGAGCAAACAGGGUUAGAUACCCUGGUAGUCCACACUGUAAACGAUGAAUGCUAGGUGUAGGGGGUAUCGACCCCUUCUGUGCCGCAGUCAACACAAUAAGCAUUCCGCCUGGGGAGUACGGCCGCAAGGUUGAAACUCAAAGGAAUUGACGGGG